This is a long non-coding RNA of Leopardus geoffroyi (Geoffroy's cat), 12495 nucleotides long. RefSeq lists it as uncharacterized. The record is from RefSeq and is a predicted model, not a curated record. Lineage: Eukaryota; Metazoa; Chordata; Mammalia; Carnivora; Felidae. The transcript has 2 exons.
UUCUGUGUCUCCCUCUCUCUCUGCCCCUCCCCUGCUCACAUUCUCUCUCUCUCUCUAAAAUAAAGAAACAUUAACAAAAAAAGUUAUAGGGGUGCCUGGGUGGCUCAGUCAGUUGAGCGUCCGACUUUGGCUCAGGUCAUGAUCUCAUGGUUUGUGAGUUCAAGCCCCGCGUCGGGCUUUGUGCUGACAGCUCAGAGCCUGGAGGCUGCUUCGGAUUCUGUGUCUUCCCCUCUCUCUCUGCCCCUCCCCCACUCACAUUCUGUCUCUGUCUCUCAAAAAAAUAAACAUUAAAAAAAUAAAAAAAAUAAAUGAAAAUAAUAUUUUAACCUUAAUAGCUGAAUUUCUUGGUUUUUGUUUUUUGUAAGUGAUCGGUAAAAUUGGGUUCACCUGAAGUGCCAACACAGGCAACUUGUGUAAAAUGCCAGUUGAAAGAGUGUGUUUGAGUUGUAAAUGCCCAAUGGAGAUGGGCUCACAGGUGCCCUCUGCUUUUUUUUCCAGUUAAUUAGGAAUCUUCUGAGAGUAGGUUGUCAUUUGAUCUCUGAACCAUUAAAUAUCUAGUACACUUCAGGAGCGCCUGGGUGGCUCAGUUGGUUAAGCGGCCGACUUCGGCUCAGGUCACAAUCUUGAGGUUCAUGAGUUCGAGCCCUGCGUCGGGCUCUAUACUGACAGCUCACAGCCUGGAGACUGCUUCAGAUUCUGUGUCUCCCUCUCUCUGCCCUUCCUCUACUCAUGCUCUGUCUCUCUCUCAAAAAUAAAUGAACAUUAAAAAAAAUUUUUUUAAAUAUCUAGUACACUUCUGAUUUUGGAUAUUUGGCUUUUCCCCAGAGUAUUAUCCAAAGUGAAUUGGAUCGCUGCAGGCCAAACAUCCCCUUAGGUCUCUAAGGAAGCUGGAAGGGGAUGCAAAAUAUGGCAAAGCCUACCGUCAGCUCUGAAAAGCAAGGUGGAAGGUUCAGGGACUUUCCCCUUCAGACACUGCUACUUGCAGGCAAGGGGUGACCGCCUGGGCCAGGAUCAAAGGGGUGAUGUGCUGUAAGCCCAGCGUGCACUGGCAGAGAGGUGGGUCCCUCUCCCCUUCCUGUUUGAGUAACUUUUCUCCCACCCCACCUCCUCAUUUUUUCACUGCCUCCCAAACACUGUCUGUUAUAUACUACGGUCUGAUUUUCAGGCUUCAAAGGAAUUUUCUUUGAAAGAUGGAAGAACUUAACACUUUAGGGCUCAUUUUAUUUUUAAAAGAAACAAGCGGGGUAGCCCUACCGUGCAAAACACCAAUGAGGCUGCAAACUUGGAAACCGGUCCAAGAAUCAUUCUUUCAUUCCAUCCUUGGCCUGAAGACUGAAGCAAGUUGCACAAAAAGUUCAUAAACACAAAGGGGUCCAAUUGCAUUCAAGCUCCCCCAGUGAGGAUGAGCAUACCCGUGAAGCCACAUGUUCGCCAUACCACGAGAGUAUAUAAGGUUUACUUGCUUGCGAAAAUAGACAGCAACUUUUAGAAUACCUGACUGUGCUUCACAAGUCAACUUUUAACCCUUUCCUAAACACUGUAAAGCCCCAAACUGGCUAAGUGGGUUAAAAAAGGGAGGGGGGGGGAGGAAAGGAAAGGAAUGAUCUCAAGCAUAAAGCCCUUCAAAAAAAACUAUCUAAAAUCCUGGACUUGAAUACACCAAAGAUAAGGAUCUGAAGUGGUUAAGAGAGUGAUCUUUUCUUUUUCCUUCAAAGGAAUAAGCUCUGUAGCAACUUCCUAGGAUCUGAUGUCAACACAACUGUUGUCUCUGGAGCUGGGAGUUCUCGGGGCAUCCUCAAGCCCCGGGCAGAGGCCAGGGUGCGCUCCUGGCGCAAUGCAGACUGGCGCACAGCAUCCCUCAGGACCUGUUUGCGUUUUACUCACAGAGAGAACAAGUACUGGCAAGGGACAAAAAAAAGAACAUGUUUUGCAAACAAUCAGAGUGACCUGAAACCCAGGGUGAAGACCGAAGUCAGCCUGAGCCAGGCUCUGUGCAACGCUGGCUUAGUGGAGUGCUCUGGAGAGGGAACAGGCUUCUCGCUUUCCCAUUCACCCAGGAGGACCUCUCACCUAAGGCCACGCCCCACCCCCCAUCGGGGCUGCUUUCCUUUGUUUAGCUUUGUAGGCGAGCUGGGAGCAUCUCUGAAAUGAGAUGAAUGCCCAAAGGAAAGAGCCCUCGUUUUUUUUUUUGUUUUUUUUUUUCUGGAGCUGAAAGCAACCCAGGAACUGGGCAUCCAGUCGAAUGCUUUCAUCUUCAUUUGGCACCCGAAGAAAACGAGACCCAGACAGCUUGAGACUACGACAAUCACGAGGUACUGGACAGCUGGGCCCAGUACUGGGGUCUCCAGAACUCCUGGCCCAGGGCUCCUGUCACACUGUGAUGUGAUCUUCCCAGCCCCCUACUUUCCUGCAAAGAGAGGGAUCUCUCAGACCUUUAAAACCACACGACCCCUUUUGGGAUAAUCCACGCACAAAUCUCCUUUGACACGGUUGGAAAAAAUUUUUUUCUUUUUAGGUUUUUUAACGGUUUUUUUUUUUUUUUAAAGUGAUCUCUACGCUCAAUGUGGGGCUCAAACUCACAACCGUGAGCAAGAGUCCUGUGCUUCACCAACAGAGCCAGCCAGGCGCCCUGCUGUUGGAAGUUUUGAAAUAGAUUAUCUUCCCCCAUUUUCCAUUUCUGAACCUGCCUACUCAAGGUAUUUUCCUCCCAAAUGCACCUGCCCCCAUUCCACAAACUGAGGUCUCCUAAGUAAAGCCUAUUAAAUGUAUUUCCACCUCAAUUGCACCACACCUCCAUCUACAUAACUAAAGCCUGAACUCCCCCACCCCAUCCCCCAAGUCUACUUUUUCCUGUCUGGCAGGUGGGCAGACCUUAUCUUCCUAAAUUGACAUUCCCAGCCCACCCAGCGCUCUGCAGGAGCACAGUAGAUACACUUGGAACCUGUUGCUUCCAACCUCCUCUGCCCUCUCUAAAAUGCCUGCCAUAAUUCCUCCACCCCAACCCCCAUCCUUUGAAAUUUCUAAACCCUGGUAGAGGAAGCGCCUCAGGCUCUUAAUAAGCUCAGUCAUGCUCAAAAUAUCCGCUUCACCCACGAGGUAUAUAGUAGCCGGCAAUUCUGGCCCAAGCACCCCUUUAGGGAAAAGAUGAUCUUUCUUCAAGACUCCGUAUUCAGAAUUCCUAAAAAAGACCACUCUUGCUUAUUUUCGUCCCUGUACCUGUGAACUUGCAACAGUCCAGGACACUGUCUGCAAUACCCAUCAUUCACCUAUACACGGUAACAAUAGGGGAUUAAGAAAUCACCCUUCAUGCGGCUGUGACCACAGAGAGUACAUAUUGCAACUUUCCUCCCCUGGAACUUGCAAAACUUACAGGAAAUCUUCCACACCUACAUAGUAAAUCCACUGCCAGAAAAAUGAAGUGUAAACACUUUAUAUUAAAUUAGCCAGGUGUUUAAAAAAAUAACAUUAUCCCAAUCCAAUAUUUUCGAAUCCUGGCUCACUUUCAAGGCUUACGGUGCAUACAGGGGCAGAGGUGUGCCAGGCACGCGCCCUUGUCCCCCCUUUGUAAGGGGCAUGUUUUGCUUUUUUGAUACAAACAAUCUGCAAAUUAGUACACAUGUAAAAUAACCCCGAGAGGAAAGCAGACAGUGAUCCUAUUUUCUUUACCUGGGAUUUCCCUCCAAAUCUUUACACUGGACAACGAUGGACAUCAAAGAUAUAAAUCUAUUUAUCUAAAGAUAAAUCUUUAAUUGGGUCCUAGACUAGACAUAUUUUUGAAAGAAGCAUCCACGAAAAUGAAGAAACAGCAAACAGGAAAAAGUGGGAAACGCUAAUGUGUCUCAGUUUAUAGAUGAAUGCGUCAAUACAUGUUUGUGAGACAGUCUAUGCAAAAAAUCAACGAGCCCUCAAAUACUGUCACUUACCUCAGUCUCUUCCUAUUGCCCUCUGGGUGCACAUCAUCCCCUGAUGUGGCCCCAUGUCCCUUGCUCGCCUUCGGGGAGGAGGGACACUAUGGCAAGGGGUAACAUUCCUCUGCACAUACAUAGUGUCAAAAAUAUAUGAAAAAACAAACAAAACUACCAGCCUAGAGGCUAUGUUGGCAAAAUUUAAAGCAACAAUUUAGAAACAGCCUACGCCCAUUUAUGUGCCAGCUUGGCCACAUUUUUAAGGGCCCAAGUCAUGUCUGUCUGUCUGUCUACUUAAAAAAAAAAUCGUUUUAGAGAGAGUCAAGUGUUUAAAAUUUUGAGAUGCUUAAGUUCAUCUUCUGUUUUGGAGACACAGCAUGAGAGAGGAGGCAAUGUUCGCCUUAGAGGAAAAUGUGGACUGUGGGGUUGGAAAGAAGUGAGUUUAGAUUCCAUUUGCCAUUUAUUGGCUGUUGUGUGAAAAGGGACUCAGUUAUGUGUGUAAGACAGAUACUACCACCUUGUGCUAAUCAGUGCAAGAUUAAAUGUGAUAAACCAUGGAACUGUAGUAUUUUUCCUGGGAUGUCAUAGGUCCUCUGUGAACAGGGUUUCCAUAGGUCCUAGGGUUCUCUAGUCCUGCCUCUGCCACCUAUCUGCCACUUAGCUGACAUGUGCAUGGGAGAGUCUCACUCUGUGACCCACUGGCCUCUAUCUUAUCCCCUGGCCUUAUGGGCCUUAUGGGCCACCACCUGCCGGGAAGGGCAAAGGAAGACACUAAGAACCAUGUUCCCGAUUGGUUUCACGUAUCAGCAUACACACAAGACUUCGCUUCUGGGGGAGAGUUGUGUGGCCAAGAAAAAGAAUAGAGAGAUGCCAGGGUAGCUCAGUCGGUUGAGCGUCCAACUCUCGAUUUCGGCUCAGGUCAUGAUCUCAGGGUCAAGGGAUCAAGUCCUGAGUCAGGCUCUGAGGUGAGCCUGGAGCUUGCUUAAGAUCCUCUCUCUCUCUCUCUCUCUCUCUCUCUCUCUCUCUGCCUCCCUCCCCCUCCCUCUCACUUGCUAUCUCUCUUAAAAACAAAAACUAAGACAGGAUUCAGAAAUAUUUCAGAUUUUAUCUCUGCUUGGACAAAUAAAAAUAUUACAAAUUUCAGAUUGACUUGGCAUUCUAAUUCUAGUUUUUUACUGCUGUUCUUAAAUCCCUUUGCUCCGAAAUAAUCCUCAUUUAAUGCAAGGUGGGCAGUAGCUUACCUAACACAUCAUCAUCUGAAGGUUCGUUGUAGUUUUGGUUACUAUUUUGAAGAGUCCUCAAGCUGCAGGCUGGGGGAUGGGGAGGUUUGGGGAGGGCCAGGGGCAAAUUACUUUCUAGAGCCUGCCAAGAAAGCUUCCACAGCAUGGAAGUUAAACCUUCAACUUCCAUCAGGCAGUAAGCUCUUUUUAGAUGAGAAAGAGAAUUUUUUCUAUGUUUCAAAAAACUUCACAGAGGUCUUCAAAAAAACAAAAAACAAAGAACCAACCUCCUAAUACAAUUUUCUCCUAAAUUGCUUUAUUCACCUUUUACAUGGGUUGGGUGAAGAUUCUCUAUAGCAAAGGUAUAUACAAGCUCCUUUCUGGAGGGCAAUGAGACAAUUCCCUGCAAACAGUGAAGAGGUGAAGAAGCAUCCUCCUUGUUAAUUACCGGGUAAGGUGGGGGUAAGUGAUAAUAACACAGUGUCGCCAAAGGUUGGGUAGGUAUCACCAACUGUCCUCAGUGCUCAAAUAAACCGACAGAGCUACGACUAUUCCAAAGGGCUCAACAACCAGUUUCUGCUCUCAGGUUCAUAGGCUGUGCGAAUUUAGGGGCUCUACAGGAACCACUCAGAGGCUCGCUUGGGAGCUAAGUAAAAAUAAUUGCCAUUAUGAUUUUCCAGGUCAAAGGAAUUUCUUCCAGGUUCCACCAGCUAGACCUCUGCGUUGCAACCAAGAACAUGUGCAAGCUGUUUGAAAAAAAACAUUGGCUUUGUGCACAGGCACCCCGGGCUGGCUUCUCCGCGUGGAGGGAGGGGAAGGACAGCCAGCUGGCUAGAGCAGCAGUCAGACUGUCCAGUUCUCACGCCACCUGCACCUCCCUAUCUAGAACCUACUGCUCUUGCUUCACAGAAACGAUCCCUGGUGCCAGUGCCACAGGGACAUUCCUUCAUCCUAAUCCCACCGGCUCCAGGCCACUGGGAUGGUAAGGAGGCUUCCAAGAGUACGCCGACCACCUGCUCCUCGGACCUCCCUGCUCUGGGCCCGUAUCAAGGAAGAUAAUGUACUUGCUCAUCCAGCCAGGAAGGGUGUUAGUGAAUUCCUGGUGCAGGCACAGUCCGGAGUUCUGAGAAGCGGCUAUGAGUUUGUGCUCCAGGUUACUACUGAAAAGCUGCGGACGGACCGUGCUGUAUUUCAGGGCACGGUGAAGAUUUUACCGAAUCGCAGCAAGGAUACACAAAUACAACCUCUUACCCGACUGGCCCCUGCUCCAACCACCCUGGCUCCUUUUUCUUUCUUGAAGAAGGCAGACCCUGUCAUGACUCUGACCCAUGAUGCAUGCUGUUCCUUCUGCCUGGCUUACUCUUCUUCCCACUCCCAACCUGCCUUGCAGCAUUUAGUGCUGGGUGAUUGUCUUCACCCCCAAAGACUUCUUCUCCCCAUCACCAUCUCUGGGUAAGAGCCCUUCCUGCUGCCCUAUCAUUUUAAGACACAGCAUCCGCUUCAUGUCUCUCAAAGCACUGACCACAUUCACAAUCAAAAACUUAUUUUUAGGGGCGCCUGGGUGGCGCAGUCGGUUAGGCGUCCGACUUCAGCCAGGUCACGAUCUCGCGGUCUGGGAGUUCGAGCCCCGCGUCGGGCUCUGGGCUGAUGGCUCAGAGCCUGGAGCCUGUUUCCGAUUCUGUGUCUCCCUCUCUCUCUGCCCCUCCCCCGUUCAUGCUCUGUCUCUCUCUGUCCCAAAAAUAAAUAAACGUUGAAAAAAAAAUUAAAAAAAAAAAACUUAUUUUUAAUGGUUAUUAUUACUAUUUUUUUUUUUUUUUUUUUUGCUGGAGGGAAGGAGGAGGAAGAGUUAUUGUUUCAUGGGUACAAAGUUUCAGUUGUGCAAGACAACAGUUCUGGAGAUGCCUGGUGGUGAUGGUUGCACAACAUUGGGAACGUACUUACUUAGUGCCGCUGAAGCAUAUAUUUAAACAUGGUUACGAUGAUAAAUUUUGUAUGCGCAGUACUACAAUUAAAAAACAACAACACUUAACUACGUUUAAUGCUCCUUUCUCCACUGGUGCACAGUGCACUGGGAUAGGAAUCCUAUGUUUUUUCAUCACUGUGUUCCCAGGGCCACGUCCAGAGCCUGGUCCACGGUGGUGCAGUGUAUAUUGUGCAGUGUAUAUCGGUUGCAUGAGACAUGAUAUACAUACGUGGAGUCAGGUGGUACUUUAACCCUGGACUACUACUUAGGCAAACUUUCCGAAAUCAAAGCCCUCGAAACUUACAGAAGAUGUAUAUGGGGACUCUGUAUGUAUACCUACAUAUGCAGAUUUUACUGUAUUUCCUCUUUGCCUUGAGGAAAUUCUUUGUGCCUAGAAUCCCAGAGGAACCAGAUUCCAAGAAGACCAAUAGUCCUUCUAGUAUGGUGUGCUUAUCUUGCUGAUGUGGCUAUUCAGGUCCCGUGUCAUCUGGGUUUUUUGUUUUGUUUUGUUUUUUUUGGCUUUUAAUUAGAAUCUGCCUCAAAUUCUCUUUGGCAUUAGACAAAGCAUAAAUUGAAAGCAAAUACGUAACAGAAGGGAGUUUCCUGUAGGAUAAGUAAGUACGUUUAAUGUUCUGAUGGUGAAUUGUUAUCAAAUAAAUAACGAUGACAAAAGUAAUAUGAAAAACUACGCUCCUUGACUCUCCUAAAAAGGAGGAAAAAUGAGAAAAAUCAGAGAAGCCACUUUUGGGAGAUGAGGAAUAAAAUGAAAGAUAGUCCUCUGGCCUCAUGGCUUGGCUGGUUUUCCCCGAGAAUAACCAAAGAAUCAUCUGAUCCAACACCAAACCCCAGCCUUCUUUUAGGUCAUAUCUGCUUUUAGGCAAACUAAAACUAAAAAAAAUUUUUUUUAAUGUUUAUUUAUUUUUGAGAGAGAGAGACAGAGGUGAGCAGAAGAGGGGGAGAGGGAGAGAGAGAGACAUGGAAUCUGAAGCAGGAUCCAGGGUCUGAGCUAUCAGCAUAGAGCCCAACGCAGGGCUCGAACCCACAAACUGCAAGAUCAUGACCUGAGCGAAAGUUGGACACUUAAUCAACUGAGACACCCAGACACCCCGGCAGACUACAACUGUUUUAAUGACAACAAUUCUCUCUCUCUGUCUCUGUCUCUUGGCCCUAAUAGAAGUAAAAGCUCAAAGUACUAGAUGAGAAGAAAAAAAAUGAGCAUUUGUUAUCCGUAAUAGUAAGUCACCUACCAUACGUGGGGGCACUCACUGCUACAUGUGCUUGGCAUGCGCUGACUUAACGUCCACAACUCUGAGAGGGAGGGCCUAUUUUCCCGUCCUCUGAACCAUAGUCUCAAGUACAGAGAGAGUGGUUUGCCCGGAGUCACGGAGCUUCGGGAGGCAGAGGCAGAAAUUCCAACUGAAGCGACUGGACUCGAGGGUCCGUGCUUCUAACCAGUAAGGUACCGUGCACGUGCACAUGACACAGAGUUUUCUACUGUAGUUCUCAUAACCUACUUUCAUAAGUCAUAGAAAGGUAUCAGCGAUAUUUCAUUGAUGAGGAGACUGAGGACCGCAAGAGGCUGUGACUUAACAAGGAGACAGAUGAUGAUAAACAGAAGUACUGAAUGCCAGGAGCUCAGCUCUCAGACUUGCAUGAGGCUCAUUUCUGUGCCUUAUAGUUCUGUCGGGGUCAUUCAGCACCAUCCCAAAGGACCAAAAGGCAAUGAAUUUGACUACAUAAAAAAGUGGAAACUUCACUCCUGUGUUUAACCUAGCACUGAAAUAUUUCUUAAUUAUAUCUACUUUAAAUGGCAUAAUUCAUACAAAUUGGUAGAGCACAGAAUUCGUACCACUCCAAACACGGUGUUUAACAACAAUGGCUUAAAAAAAAAUACAAACAGCCCCCCCUUUUUUUUUCAUAAAUUCUUCUGGAUUAAAUAUUUGUUCAUUUAAAACCUGAGUGCACCUGUCUGGAAGCCACCCCAGGUGUUGUACAUGUGGAUAAGAAUUCAAGGUAAAGAUUCCUGUCCUGAAAGAUACACAUCAGGAAGACAAGAAUACUUCCGGCUGAGUGGACCACGGGAUGGAAGGGUGCGUACGAGGCAGGAGUGCCGGAGAAGGACCUCUCAGAACAGGCAAGGGAGCCCUGGCAUUUCAGGGAAGGAGGGGGUGAAGGAUAGGCUUCCUGCAUAUUUCAACAGAAGAUUAUAACUUGCCAUCUUUAUUAGUAUAUAACCAAAAAAUUUGAAAAAAAUGACCUCAGCGAAUUUCGGCCUUUAAGAAAGAUUUUAAUCAAACAAAAUUAAAUUUGUUUAAAACAUCACAGGAUGAGGUCUAGAAAGAGGCUUCUGUCGCUGUCGAAAGUUAAUGCCUAUGGAUCGGCUAUUGCUAGAGUAGCUUAAAAUGGGCUAAUUAUUCUCCCACCCACCCCCCACCCCCCCCUUUCUCUGUCCUGGCACAAGGAAAUUUUAAGCCAUCUACAAUCCCUCCAUUAAAUUAAAAAAAUAAACAAACAAACCUCCAUUGUAAGAGGCGCCAUUGGUGUCUGCCUCCUUGUCUUCCCAUCACAAAAGCAGAGGAGUGCUAAAGAACAGACUCGCUGGUCAGUAUUUCAUGAAUUUAAAAAAGUGUAGCAUUGCUGCCUGGCCAGACACAGCGAAAAACAAAAACCUCAGUCAUUUGUUUAAACAAACUCACAAAAACAAAACCACUUCCUCAACGUACUCCGUGAAUUCUAAAAAGGAUCGCACGUUUAAUUUAAUUUUUUUUAACUUUAACUUCCACAAAUUAAAAGCAGGAUGAUAAGACCAGACAAAUGGACAUCGCCCCUCUACCCUGCUUAUCUAUUUCUGGUUUCAUUCAGCUGCCAAAACCACCGACAGCACUUCCUCUCAUCCCAACAGGAAAAUUUCAUGGCUCCUGAAGGUCUGAGUCAGAGCAGAAAGCUCAUGAAUAUUCUGAUUUUCUGGAGCUGAUGCAAGGAAAUCACUAUAAUUGAUGACCAGACACAGUUACCUACCAAAUGUCUGGUCCCUACAACUACUCUUCUGAAAUAAUUUAUCAAAAGUUGGAUUUCCAUUUUCAAAGUUAUUAACAAUAACAAGAGUCUGUUUCUGAUUUUUAACAUGAGGUUUUAUCAUUCGAGCCCUUCUUCUUUUCAAUAAAAUCUCUCUAUGCACUGGGAUCUCCAUUAAUAAACUCCUUUCGGUUUGCCGCAUUUUAAUGAAGGUGAACAGAAAGUAAACCGAAAAGAACCUUAACUUCCCACACGAAAUGGGAAGAAAUGAGUGUGCCGAAGAUUUACACGAGGCUCCGUACGCAACGGGUGCCAGGAAAUUAACAGGGCACGUGCGUCCGUGUGGUGGCGGCGGGAGACGGUGGCACCAACACCUCCCCGCGGACCGCACGAGCUCCCCAGGAGGUUCUGCUGCGGUCCGGGAUCGGACUGGAGCACGUAACUGGACGUUAGCUCGGAACAAUGAGACCCUGGUUCAAUUUGAGAACGCACGCCCUCCUUCCAUUUAAUUUUUCUCUUUUACAAACCUACUUCCAUCUUUUAUUUUCCUUUUACGUUGUGCACUGCUCACAAGCACAUGAGCAACGAACGUGGAGGGACCCAUCCAAGUUAUUUACUCCGCGAGCCUCCUCCCGCUGCAAAGCGGCAACAAUGCCGCGGAAGUCGGAGGGUGGACCACCCUCUUCCCAUAACUUUAGGACAGCCGGUUUUCCAUCAAAAUUCAAUUAUCGCUAAGGAGAAACCAGGGUUUGUAGUGAAACGGUUUAGAACGGUUUACUUCUUUGCCAUAAAAUGGAUGAUCGACCUUCGGGAAACCCAGACCGCCCCCCGUCCCGAGGGAGGCAGCGUGGCUCUGGCACCGUGGGAUCGACCCCUCGAGACGGAAACCACGUUCCCAUAAAGAAACUUGAGCCACCAAAGGGAUUAGAUGACAUGAUCGGAAAUACAUGAGAAAUACUUUCUGCAUUUUCCGCUAUCGGGAUUAAGGAAUUAGAGGGGGGGAGGGGGCGGGAAAUCAGGACGCUUCUGUCUUCCCAAACCCGAAUGCCACACCCGGCCGCUCCCUGUUCCAUCCACUCUCGCACAUGGUGUCCGGAGACCACGUGAGGCGGCGGCGGGCGUGGCCAGAGCGUGGUCACGUGGCCGGCCAGUCCUCCCGCGCGGGCACGCGCCUGCUGAGCCCCGCCUCCCGCCAGCCAGGGCAGAAGCGGGCGGCCACGAGGGGUCUGCGGCGCUGCGGUGGCGGCGGCGCUCCGGAAUCCGGUCCGCCCGAGCACGUGCACUAACUUUAACGGAUGCGCUGGAACUUUUUCCAGCGCUGGGCUUGCGGUCUAGAAAUAACACUCAAGUAAAUGUUCCCUGUCCCCCUCCGCUCAGCCGCCAACUUUAGGACAUUCACCAAGGCACUGCAAACACGAAAAGAACCUCAGUACUCGGUAGCAUGAAUUCUGUGCGGCCACACCUUUAAAAGCCAUACUGGUCUCAAACGAAAGGAUCCUCAUCAGGGAAUAAUAGAAAAUUGAGGCCAGAAAUGAAUGCGCGACAGCAACCAUUUUUGCUCUGGUGUUCCCAGCAUCACAGGGUGUGCAAUAGGAGAUGAGAAAUUUGCUGUCAACCCUUGCGGCUACCUGUCCACACAGAAGCAAUAAUCCCGAAAGGCAAGGGAGUGAGGGCCACUGGAUUAAGCCCUUGCUUUCACACCAAGAAUGUGCUGACUGGAUCCGUACAAACUCCUUUCUAUGGACAGGAGAUCUAGGCUCCAAGACCGGCCUGACUUAUCCAAUAGAGGGGGCCCUCAGGUGGCAGUUGGCUUCGCUCUAAGAUCUCGGCUCUGUUAUACCUCAUUGCCUCCCAAAGGGAAAUCAAGUUUGCUUACAAAGCCUUCAGCAAUGAGAGGUGUCCAGUGGAAUGGAGGCUGGAAAGGUGGUAGCCCCUAGAAGGAGGGCCUGCUGGAGAGACCCUUAAUAGGACAACGGAGAGGUGCAGGAGCAUUGGAAGUGGAACGCAUGGAGGAGUCUUGCCUGGCAGGGUUGGCGUGGGCCUAGGACGAAGACCAGGAGUGGGAGAUGACAGCAGGGGAGGGAGAACCAAUACCAGGCGGGAGUGGAAAAGCCCCUUCAGGCAUAGCUAUCUGAAAGUGAAAUAUAAGGGGACCCUUGUAAAAUACUAUGUCAUGAAACUAGGUGCUGAGGGCUGGUCCAGGAUACAGAAGGGGGGAUUGCAUGCCUUUUGAAAAUGUUUUUUGACCACUACAAUCGCUCCCAUGUGGAUAAACGUGUUCCAUUAAUUUUAAUUAUUCCAGCAACUGUCAUAUUACUAGAGAAACAGAGACGGGGAUGCAGAGAGAGAAGUAAAAGAAAAAAAAAACAAACACGAUCAUGUGAAGGGAAAA